This 523-nucleotide ribosomal RNA is filed under the name Magadha taibaishanensis. RNAcentral's name for it is "partial 16S ribosomal RNA". The stretch from base 391 to 523 matches the Rfam family "Bacterial large subunit ribosomal RNA", at positions 2473 to 2607 of the family's 2925-position model. Lineage: Eukaryota; Metazoa; Arthropoda; Insecta; Hemiptera; Achilidae. The record is from RNAcentral.
UAACAUGUUUUUUUGUUUAUUUAUUUAAGAUUGGCCCUGCUCAAUGAUUUUUUAAAUAGCCGCGGUAAUUUAACUGUGCAAAGGUAGCAUAAUAAUUAGUCUUUUAAUUGAGGUCUGGAAUGAAUGGGUUGACGAGGAAAUAACUUUAUUUGUUUAAAUUUAUUUAAUUUAAUUUUUAAGUUAAAAAGCUUAAAUUCUUAAUUGGGACGAUAAGACCCUAUAGAUCUUUAUUUUUUUUUUUAAUAAUUUGUUUUAGUAUUAAAGUUAUUUUUUUAAUAAUAAAAAUUUUACUGGGGUGGUAUAUAAAAAUUUAAACUUUAUUUUUUUUUUACUUUUAUUUUUGGUUUAUUUGAUCCUAAAUUUUGGAUUUUUAGAUUAAGAUACCUUAGGGAUAACAGCGUUAUAUAUUUGGAGAGUUCAAAUUGAUAAAUAUGUUUGCGACCUCGAUGUUGGAUUAAAUUUAAUUGUGGGGUAGGUUUUACAAUGUUAGGUCUGUUCAACCUUUAAAAUUUUACAUGACGUU